This 400-nucleotide unclassified non-coding RNA is filed under the name uncultured bacterium. RNAcentral describes it as "contains 16S-23S intergenic spacer region". The record is from RNAcentral.
UCCCCGCUUCUUGAACACGACACUAUUAAUGUGUCCCGUGCAAAAAGCGGGGCAGUUCUCCGUGACAUAUAUAACACGGAGCAGGGGUUGCGCUCGUUACCCAAAUUAAUGGAACGCCUCACGGCACGAGCUGACGACAACCAUGCAGCACCUGUGCUUAUUGUCUUUUAAGGGAAAGCCAAUGUUUCCAUCGGCGGUCAAUAAGCAUUUCAAACCCUGGUAAGGUUCCUCGCUUGUCAUCGAAUUGAACCUCAUGUUCCACCGCUUGUGCGAGUCCCCGUCUAUUCCUUUGAGUUUUAAGCUUGCGCUCGUACUUCCCAGGCGGCCUGCUUAACGCGUUAACUACGGCACUCCGAGGGUCGAUACUCGAAACACCUAGCAGGCAUCGUUUAGGGCGUGG